AACGAACGCUGGCGGCAUGCCUAACACAUGCAAGUCGAACGAUGCCUUCGGGCAUAGUGGCGCACGGGUGCGUAACGCGUGGGAAUCUGCCCUUGGGUUCGGAAUAACUCAGAGAAAUUUGAGCUAAUACCGGAUGAUGACGUAAGUCCAAAGAUUUAUCGCCCAAGGAUGAGCCCGCGUAAGAUUAGCUAGUUGGUGGGGUAAAGGCCUACCAAGGCGACGAUCUUUAGCUGGUCUGAGAGGAUGAUCAGCCACACUGGGACUGAGACACGGCCCAGACUCCUACGGGAGGCAGCAGUGGGGAAUAUUGGACAAUGGGCGAAAGCCUGAUCCAGCAAUGCCGCGUGAGUGAUGAAGGCCUUAGGGUUGUAAAGCUCUUUUACCAGGGAUGAUAAUGACAGUACCUGGAGAAUAAGCUCCGGCUAACUCCGUG
RNAcentral lists this ribosomal RNA (433 nucleotides) under uncultured bacterium. RNAcentral describes it as "bacterial SSU rRNA". It matches the Rfam family "Bacterial small subunit ribosomal RNA", at positions 29 to 507 of the family's 1533-position model. RNAcentral also lists the same sequence under 1 other name. The record is from RNAcentral.